This 303-nucleotide ribosomal RNA is filed under the name uncultured bacterium. RNAcentral's name for it is "partial 16S ribosomal RNA". It matches the Rfam family "Bacterial small subunit ribosomal RNA", at positions 507 to 807 of the family's 1533-position model. The record is from RNAcentral.
AGCAGUAGCCGCGGUAAAACGGAGGGUGCAAGCGUUAAUCGGAAUUACUGGGCGUAAAGCGCACGCAGGCGGUCUGACAAGUCAGAUGUGAAAUCCCCGGGCUUAACCUGGGAACUGCAUUUGAAACUGUCAGGCUGGAGUCUUGUAGAGGGGGGUAGAAUUCCAGGUGUAGCGGUGAAAUGCGUAGAGAUCUGGAGGAAUACCGGUGGCGAAGGCGGCCCCCUGGACAAAGACUGACGCUCAGGUGCGAAAGCGUGGGGAGCAAACAGGAUUAGAUACCCCUGUAGUCCCUGUCUCUUAUAC